This 2787-nucleotide ribosomal RNA is filed under the name Escherichia coli. RNAcentral's name for it is "bacterial LSU rRNA". It matches the Rfam family "Bacterial large subunit ribosomal RNA". Lineage: Bacteria; Pseudomonadati; Pseudomonadota; Gammaproteobacteria; Enterobacterales; Enterobacteriaceae. The record is from RNAcentral.
AGCGUACACGGUGGAUGCCCUGGCAGUCAGAGGCGAUGAAGGACGUGCUAAUCUGCGAUAAGCGUCGGUAAGGUGAUAUGAACCGUUAUAACCGGCGAUUUCCGAAUGGGGAAACCCAGUGUGUUUCGACACACUAUCAUUAACUGAAUCCAUAGGUUAAUGAGGCGAACCGGGGGAACUGAAACAUCUAAGUACCCCGAGGAAAAGAAAUCAACCGAGAUUCCCCCAGUAGCGGCGAGCGAACGGGGAGCAGCCCAGAGCCUGAAUCAGUGUGUGUGUUAGUGGAAGCGUCUGGAAAGGCGCGCGAUACAGGGUGACAGCCCCGUACACAAAAAUGCACAUACUGUGAGCUCGAUGAGUAGGGCGGGACACGUGGUAUCCUGUCUGAAUAUGGGGGGACCAUCCUCCAAGGCUAAAUACUCCUGACUGACCGAUAGUGAACCAGUACCGUGAGGGAAAGGCGAAAAGAACCCCGGCGAGGGGAGUGAAAAAGAACCUGAAACCGUGUACGUACAAGCAGUGGGAGCACGCUUAGGCGUGUGACUGCGUACCUUUUGUAUAAUGGGUCAGCGACUUAUAUUCUGUAGCAAGGUUAACCGAAUAGGGGAGCCGAAGGGAAACCGAGUCUUAACUGGGCGUUAAGUUGCAGGGUAUAGACCCGAAACCCGGUGAUCUAGCCAUGGGCAGGUUGAAGGUUGGGUAACACUAACUGGAGGACCGAACCGACUAAUGUUGAAAAAUUAGCGGAUGACUUGUGGCUGGGGGUGAAAGGCCAAUCAAACCGGGAGAUAGCUGGUUCUCCCCGAAAGCUAUUUAGGUAGCGCCUCGUGAAUUCAUCUCCGGGGGUAGAGCACUGUUUCGGCAAGGGGGUCAUCCCGACUUACCAACCCGAUGCAAACUGCGAAUACCGGAGAAUGUUAUCACGGGAGACACACGGCGGGUGCUAACGUCCGUCGUGAAGAGGGAAACAACCCAGACCGCCAGCUAAGGUCCCAAAGUCAUGGUUAAGUGGGAAACGAUGUGGGAAGGCCCAGACAGCCAGGAUGUUGGCUUAGAAGCAGCCAUCAUUUAAAGAAAGCGUAAUAGCUCACUGGUCGAGUCGGCCUGCGCGGAAGAUGUAACGGGGCUAAACCAUGCACCGAAGCUGCGGCAGCGACGCUUAUGCGUUGUUGGGUAGGGGAGCGUUCUGUAAGCCUGUGAAGGUGUACUGUGAGGUAUGCUGGAGGUAUCAGAAGUGCGAAUGCUGACAUAAGUAACGAUAAAGCGGGUGAAAAGCCCGCUCGCCGGAAGACCAAGGGUUCCUGUCCAACGUUAAUCGGGGCAGGGUGAGUCGACCCCUAAGGCGAGGCCGAAAGGCGUAGUCGAUGGGAAACAGGUUAAUAUUCCUGUACUUGGUGUUACUGCGAAGGGGGGACGGAGAAGGCUAUGUUGGCCGGGCGACGGUUGUCCCGGUUUAAGCGUGUAGGCUGGUUUUCCAGGCAAAUCCGGAAAAUCAAGGCUGAGGCGUGAUGACGAGGCACUACGGUGCUGAAGCAACAAAUGCCCUGCUUCCAGGAAAAGCCUCUAAGCAUCAGGUAACAUCAAAUCGUACCCCAAACCGACACAGGUGGUCAGGUAGAGAAUACCAAGGCGCUUGAGAGAACUCGGGUGAAGGAACUAGGCAAAAUGGUGCCGUAACUUCGGGAGAAGGCACGCUGAUAUGUAGGUGAAGUCCCUCGCGGAUGGAGCUGAAAUCAGUCGAAGAUACCAGCUGGCUGCAACUGUUUAUUAAAAACACAGCACUGUGCAAACACGAAAGUGGACGUAUACGGUGUGACGCCUGCCCGGUGCCGGAAGGUUAAUUGAUGGGGUUAGCGCAAGCGAAGCUCUUGAUCGAAGCCCCGGUAAACGGCGGCCGUAACUAUAACGGUCCUAAGGUAGCGAAAUUCCUUGUCGGGUAAGUUCCGACCUGCACGAAUGGCGUAAUGAUGGCCAGGCUGUCUCCACCCGAGACUCAGUGAAAUUGAACUCGCUGUGAAGAUGCAGUGUACCCGCGGCAAGACGGAAAGACCCCGUGAACCUUUACUAUAGCUUGACACUGAACAUUGAGCCUUGAUGUGUAGGAUAGGUGGGAGGCUUUGAAGUGUGGACGCCAGUCUGCAUGGAGCCGACCUUGAAAUACCACCCUUUAAUGUUUGAUGUUCUAACGUUGACCCGUAAUCCGGGUUGCGGACAGUGUCUGGUGGGUAGUUUGACUGGGGCGGUCUCCUCCUAAAGAGUAACGGAGGAGCACGAAGGUUGGCUAAUCCUGGUCGGACAUCAGGAGGUUAGUGCAAUGGCAUAAGCCAGCUUGACUGCGAGCGUGACGGCGCGAGCAGGUGCGAAAGCAGGUCAUAGUGAUCCGGUGGUUCUGAAUGGAAGGGCCAUCGCUCAACGGAUAAAAGGUACUCCGGGGAUAACAGGCUGAUACCGCCCAAGAGUUCAUAUCGACGGCGGUGUUUGGCACCUCGAUGUCGGCUCAUCACAUCCUGGGGCUGAAGUAGGUCCCAAGGGUAUGGCUGUUCGCCAUUUAAAGUGGUACGCGAGCUGGGUUUAGAACGUCGUGAGACAGUUCGGUCCCUAUCUGCCGUGGGCGCUGGAGAACUGAGGGGGGCUGCUCCUAGUACGAGAGGACCGGAGUGGACGCAUCACUGGUGUUCGGGUUGUCAUGCCAAUGGCACUGCCCGGUAGCUAAAUGCGGAAGAGAUAAGUGCUGAAAGCAUCUAAGCACGAAACUUGCCCCGAGAUGAGUUCUCCCUGACUCCUUGA